AUUGAACGCUGGCGGCAGGCCUAACACAUGCAAGUCGAACGGUAACAGGAAGAAGCUUGCCUCUUUGCUGACGAGUGGCGGACGGGUGAGUAAUGUCCGGGAAACUGCCCGAUGGAGGGGGAUAACUACUGGAAACGGUAGCUAAUACCGCACAAUCUCGCAAGACCAAAGAGGGGGACCUUCUGGCCCCUUGCCAUCGGAUGUGCCCAGAUGGGAUUAGCUAGUAGGUGGGGUAACGGCUCACCUAGGCGACGAUCCCUAGCUGGUCUGAGAGGAUGACCAGCCACACUGGAACUGAGACACGGUCCAGACUCCUACGGGAGGCAGCAGUGGGGAAUAUUGCACAAUGGGCGCAAGCCUGAUGCAGCUAUGCCGCGUGUAUGAAGAAGGCCUUCGGGUUGUAAAGUACUUUCAGCGGGGAGGAAGGGAGUAAAGUUAAUACCUUUGCUCAUUGACGUUACCCGCAGAAGAAGCACCGGCUAACUCCGUG
RNAcentral lists this ribosomal RNA (490 nucleotides) under uncultured bacterium. RNAcentral describes it as "partial 16S ribosomal RNA". It matches the Rfam family "Bacterial small subunit ribosomal RNA", at positions 30 to 507 of the family's 1533-position model. The record is from RNAcentral.